UACAGAGGUCCCAAGCGUUGUUCGGAUUCACUGGGCGUAAAGGGGGCGUAGGUGGUGAGGUAAGUCGGAUGUGAAAUCUCGGAGCUCAACUCCGAAAUGGCAUUGGAAACUACCUCGCUAGAGGAUCGGAGGGGAGACUGGAAUUCUCGGUGUAGCAGUGAAAUGCGUAGAUAUCGAGAGGAACACCAGUGGCGAAGGCGAGUCUCUGGACGAUUCCUGACGCUGAGGCACGAAAGCCAGGGGAGCAAACGGG
This 253-nucleotide ribosomal RNA is filed under the name uncultured bacterium. RNAcentral's name for it is "partial 16S ribosomal RNA". It matches the Rfam family "Bacterial small subunit ribosomal RNA", at positions 524 to 776 of the family's 1533-position model. The record is from RNAcentral.